CUCUGUUUGUUUUGUUUGCCUGCAAAGGUGGAGAACCCAAGGGGACAAUGCUGAAUUUUCAAUCAUUCCACAUUCCAAAAGCUACACCACACACAAAGAAAUGACGACUGCACUCAGCUGAUGCUAUAACUUUUGUUUGUUCUGGUUGCUAUUUAUAGUUCAACCCUGCUCAAAUCAGAUCCAGCAGACAGUGAGACCACAAUGGCAUCAGGGAACCUAAAAAUACCAUUUCUCUGAGUUAGUAGGUUACAUUAUCAGGACCUGCUUUAUACAGAGAAAUUUAGGAUGCUAAAUUUCUUUAUGAAUAUAACAACCUGUUUAGAGAAGCUGGGACCCCCAUUUUUGAAGAGCUAAGUUUGGAAAGAGGACCGGACAACGACAACAUGUUAGACUUUUGCAUCCUGCUCUUCAAAGAAAGUAAUGACAUGGUGUUCAGUUGUUUUUCAGCAGAGCUAUACCCAGAGAGCAAAAGCUGAGUUGGCCCGUCUCUUCAGAAGUCAGAGACCAACUUCUCUCAGAACUGUGCCUGCUCUUUCUUCAAAGUUCCAAGCCCAUGCACAGAAUCCUCUCUUGCCUCAGCCACUCUGCAGUCUCUGACUCUACAACUCUGGGCCUUCUACCAAAAACCAAAUGGGCUUUUUCUUGGACCCUGACAGGUUAGGAGAAGGAAGCACACUCCUUGCUCAGUGAGUACUCAAUAUUCCUCUGCUGCCACCA
RNAcentral lists this long non-coding RNA (717 nucleotides) under Monodelphis domestica (gray short-tailed opossum). Its description in RNAcentral is "lncRNA (ENSMODG00000047887.1)". The record is from RNAcentral. Lineage: Eukaryota; Metazoa; Chordata; Mammalia; Didelphimorphia; Didelphidae.